UCAGCAAGAAGGGUGGGGGUUUUUAUGCCACCUGUCCAGCUCUUUGUUUUUAUUGUUUUCGUUUGAUUUUUUUUUUAGUUUCAGUGAUUUAAUUGCAAUAGGCUUACGACUUGUCACUGUCUCUUUCCGACGAAAAUACGGUUCUUUCUUCGCCAACCAAUCUUGGCCCACCAAAAGUCCAUAUGAAUUCCAUCCUCUUCUUCGGCUAGGAAACGUCUUCGUAACGCCUCUCCUCUGCAUUCAAUCUAUACAGAGUAAGAGAUAUAAACACAGAGAGAGAGAGUGGAGUUUACUGAGAUAGAGAUGGGAGGUGAGACUUCUUCAAUUGCGGUGAAGGUGGCGCUCUUCGGCCGUAUCAGUUAACUUACAAGGCAAUCAGAGACAACGCAUACAGUGGUCCGAUGUUAGAGCUCUUGAUCGAGCUAACUAUUCAGAGACUUCUGGUAAUUAUUAUUACAGAUUUAAUUGCGCUGUCACAAAGGUCGUUUGUUCUUGCUUACUUUUACUUUGUAUGUUUUAAUAUGAAUGAGUCUCUUACUCUGUAUAAAGACAGACUUUUAGGUCACUAUAUGUGCAGUCACAACAGCCGAUAAGGCACAAUACAUGACUGGUCGGAGACCCGUGGAGUACGGUGAAGACAGCUUUGUGAUACUAAGCAUAAUGUUCGAGUUUUGUUGGAACAAGGGAAUGUGUUGAGUGUUUUGAUCCUACAGUGGAGGAAGAAUAGUCUGAGGAUGGGCUUUUUUCUUUUCUGAAACUUGCUCUUGUCUGUACUUCUCAGAUUCCUUCAAAUCGGCCUACAAUUGCAGAGAUUGUUCAGAUCUUGGAGGUCAUCAGUUCUCCUGUUCCUCAGCGGAUGCUCGAUAGUUUCUGAAAAAACUGUAUUAAAUUGAUUUUCCAUUAUGCAAUAUUUUCUUUCUUUUUUUUUACAAUUCUUUUUGUAUAGAUUGCUUUCUUUCACAAUGGUACGUCGUAUCUUUCUCGCUAUGUCAUCAUGAAUCAUCUUGACCAUCA
Long non-coding RNA from Raphanus sativus (radish), 1014 nucleotides. RefSeq lists it as uncharacterized. The transcript is spliced from 2 exons. Lineage: Eukaryota; Viridiplantae; Streptophyta; Magnoliopsida; Brassicales; Brassicaceae. The record is from RefSeq and is a predicted model, not a curated record.